RNAcentral lists this ribosomal RNA (1944 nucleotides) under Triticum aestivum (bread wheat). RNAcentral's name for it is "partial small subunit ribosomal RNA". Lineage: Eukaryota; Viridiplantae; Streptophyta; Magnoliopsida; Poales; Poaceae. The record is from RNAcentral.
AUGGAGGUCAAUCGUCCUCCUCAUGAUUGCAGGAGGAUCAGGCUUUGUCACUAUCAGAAAUUCAGAAUGCUGAAAGCUACUACCUCUCCUCCAAAUGCCUUGAGGCCUUCCCGUGCCUACUACAGGCCUGCUUUCUCUCUCAGUGCAACAACUUCGUCCUCGUCUCUAACCUCCAACCCAAAGAAAUCUUUGAUCCAGGAGCUCCGAAGGCAGCUCUCUUCCACCAUCGACGAUGCCUCGCAGGUGCUGAAGAAUGCGCCACAGAAGCUUCUGGAUGCAAUAGUUGACUCAACCUUCAAGUUUACUCAUCAAGCUCUGCUCCCGUCUGAGAGCAACUUUGCGCCCGUCGAUGAGAUCGGUGGAUCCAUAGAGAUACUCCAGAUUGAAGGAGAGAUACCCAAAGAUUUCCCCGAGGGCGUGUACAUCAGAAAUGGCUCCAAUCCUCUCUUUGGCGCCCUCCACUCGACUGUCUCCGUCUUCGGGGAGUCCAGUGAGAUAUGGGUUGAGGGCGAGGGCAUGCUCCAUGCCCUGUACUUCACCAAGACCGGUUCAGCUUCUUCUUGGUCAGUCUCCUACGACAAUCGCUACGUGCAAUCCGAAACAUUGAAGAUCGAACAAGACCGCCAGAAACCAUGCUUCCUCCCUGCUAUCGAGGGUGACUCGGCAGCCAUCAUCGUCGCCUACAUUCUCAACUAUCUGAGGUUUGGCAAGGUGAAUAAGAACAUCACCAACACCAAUGUGUUUGAACAUGCGGGUAGGGUGUACGCUGUCGCAGAAAGCCAUCAGCCCCAGGAAAUCUGCAUACAAAAUCUUGAGACAGGCAAUACCUGGGAUAUUGGUGGGGAGUGGGAUCGGCCCUUCACAGCUCACCCAAAGGUAGCUCCUGGAUCAGGAGAACUUGUCAUCUUUGGCUCAGAUGCAAAGAAGCCUUUCCUAGUUGUUGGUGUUGUCUCAGAUGAUGGAACCAAACUAAAACAUAAAGUUGACCUCAAGCUGAACAGAUCUACACUUUGUCACGACAUAGGAGUUACUCUGAAGUACAACAUAAUCAUAGAUAUACCACUUACUAUUGACAUUGGUAGACUCACUACAGGCGGUCAGCUGAUCGAAUUUGAGAAGGAAGGUUAUGCAAGAAUUGGGAUUAUGCCCCGCUAUGGUGACGCAGAGUCAGUUAUGUGGUUCGAUGUUGAACCAUUCUGCAUGUUCCAUCUUAUCAACUGCUUCGAAGAAGGUGAUGAGGUUGUUGUUCAAGGCCUCCGUUCGGCAGACUCCGUCAUACCAGGGCCAAGAUUAAACAAACAAGAAAUACUCCCUGAAAGGUCCGAGCUUAAAAAAGAUGGCAAGGCCAUGAAACAAGGCAUUAAUGAGAAAUUAUUCUCUCGCUUGUUUGAAUGGAGAUUAAACCUGAAAACGAAGACUGUUUCAGGGGAAUAUUUGACUGGGACUGAGUGCUCCUUGGAAUUCCCAAUGAUCAAUAACCACUACACAGGCGUGCGUCAUAGUUAUGGCUACGCACAAAUAGUGGAUUCUUUAACAAGAUCUGCUAGCAGUAGUGAAAAAGUACUACCAAAGUAUGGGGGCUUUGCAAAACUAUGCCUUGAGGAGAGAGAGAAUACAGAGACAUCGGCAGAAGAUCUAAUAAAGAUGGAAAUUCAUCGGCUUAGUGAAGAUGAGUUCUGCUCUGGAGCAUCAUUUGUUCCAAGAGUUGGUGGCUCACAUGAAGAUGAUGGAUGGAUAAUAUCUUUUGUACAUAAUGAAAGAACAAAUACGUCACAGGUGCACAUUAUUGAUACCCAAAAAUUUGAAGGUGCUCCUGUUGCAAAAAUAACAUUGCCACAAAGAGUGCCCUAUGGCUUUCAUGGAACUUUUGUCCAUAACAACAUACACGGGCACGUGAAUACCAGAUCAGAAAAAAAAAUGGACAACUUAAAGUUUAUAUAUUGA